Molecule: ribosomal RNA, 324 nt
Filed under: uncultured eukaryote
Lineage: Eukaryota
Description: partial 18S ribosomal RNA
Rfam family: Eukaryotic small subunit ribosomal RNA
Source: RNAcentral
CCCUUAGCUUUUCUUGGCCGCACGCGCGCUACACUGAUGCAUUCAACGAGUUUCUUCCUGGUCCGAGAGGAAUGGGUAACCUUUUGAAAGUGCAUCGUGAUAGGGAUAGACUAUUGCAAUUAUUGGUCUUCAACGAGGAAUUCCUAGUAGACGUAGUUCAUCAGACUGCAUCGAUUACGUCCCUGCCCUUUGUACACACCGCCCGUCGCUCCUACCGAUUGAAUGCUCAGGUGAGCCAUUCGGACUUUCAUCAUGCUGGUUUCCAGUUUUGAUGAAGGAAAGUCUUGCGAACCUUAUCAUUUAGAGGAAGGAGAAGUCGUAACA